GACGAACGCUGGCGGCGUGCUUAACACAUGCCAGUCGAACGGAAAGGCCCUGCUUGCAGGGUACUCGAGUGGCGAACGGGUGAGUAACACGUGGGUGAUCUGCCCUGCACUUCGGGAUAAGCCUGGGAAACUGGGUCUAAUACCGGAUAGGAGCCAUUUUUAGUGUGAUGGUUGGAAAGUUUUUUCGGUGUAGGAUGAGCUCGCGGCCUAUCAGCUUGUUGGUGGGGUAAUGGCCUACCAAGGCGGCGACGGGUAGCCGGCCUGAGGGGGUGGACGGCCACAUUGGGACUGAGAUACGGCCCAGACUCCGACGGGAGGCAGCAGUGGGGAAUAUUGCACAAUGGGCGCAAGCCUGAUGCAGCGACGCCGCGUGGGGGAUGACGGCCUUCGGGUUGUAAACUCCUUUCGCUAGGGACGAAGCUUUUUGUGACGGUACCUAGAUAAGAAGCACCGGCUAACUACGUG
Molecule: ribosomal RNA, 465 nt
Filed under: uncultured bacterium
Lineage: Bacteria
Description: partial 16S ribosomal RNA
Rfam family: Bacterial small subunit ribosomal RNA
Source: RNAcentral